RNAcentral lists this ribosomal RNA (440 nucleotides) under uncultured bacterium. RNAcentral's name for it is "partial 16S ribosomal RNA". It matches the Rfam family "Bacterial small subunit ribosomal RNA", at positions 338 to 795 of the family's 1533-position model. The record is from RNAcentral.
CCUACGGGCGGCAGCAGUGGGGAAUAUUGCUCAAUGGGGGAAACCCUGAAGCAGCAACGCCGCGUGAAGGAUGAAGGUUUUCGGAUUGUAAACUCCUUUUGUUAGAGAAGAUAAUGACGGUAUCUGACGACUAAGCACCGGCUAACUCCGUGCCAGCAGCCGCGGUAAUACGGAGGGUGCAAGCGUUACUCGGAAUCACUGGGCGUAAAGGGCGCGUAGGCGGGAUAGCAAGUCAGAUGUGAAAUCCUAUGGCUUAACCAUAGAACUGCAUUUGAAACUGUUAUUCUAGAGUAUGGGAGAGGUAGGUGGAAUGCUUGGUGUAGGGGUAAAAUCCGUAGAGAUCAAGAGGAAUACUCAUUGCGAAGGCGACCUGCUAGAACAUAACUGACGCUGAUGCGCGAAAGCGUGGGGAGCAAACAGGAUUAGAUACCCUAGUAGUC